RNAcentral lists this ribosomal RNA (494 nucleotides) under uncultured bacterium. RNAcentral describes it as "partial 16S ribosomal RNA". It matches the Rfam family "Bacterial small subunit ribosomal RNA", at positions 28 to 507 of the family's 1533-position model. The record is from RNAcentral.
GACGAACGCUGGCGGCGUGCUUAACACAUGCAAGUCGAACGGAAAGGCCUGCUUUCCCUUGUGGAUUGCGGGUGCUCGAGUGGCGAACGGGUGAGUAACACGUGAGUGAUCUGCCCCCAACUUGGGUAUAAGCCUGGGAAACUGGGUCUAAUUCCCGAUAGGACUGCAGGGUGGUGCCUGUGGUGGAAAACGAUUUUCUAGUGGUUGGGGAUGAGCUCGCGGCCUAUCAGCUUGUUGGUGGGGUAAUGGCCUACCAAGGCGGCGACGGGUAGCCGGCCUGGGAGGGUGGACGGCCACAUUGGGACUGAGAGACGGCCCAGACUCCUACGGGAGGCAGCAGUGGGGAAUAUGGCACAAUGGGCGGAAGCCUGAUGCAGCGACGCCGCGUGGGGGAUGACGGCCUUCGGGUUGUAAACUCCUUUCGACCGCGAGGAAGCCACCUGGUUGGAAGGGUGGUGACGGUAGUGGUAGAAGAAGCACCGGCUAACUACGUG